UUUUCAGUCAAGGCUCUAGAGUCUAGACUAGAGCAGUACCUGUACCUGCUGUACACGUUAACUUCCUCCCAUUCCUUCAGACCUUCCUUGGGUUCUUAAUUAGGUUUUUUUUUUAGAAAAGAAAGAAGACCCCGGCCUAUGCGUCUGCAGGGUUCUGAAUUAGGUGAGAAACCGUUUCAUACUAGUGUUAUUUUGGAUUGUACGAGGGAGUAGAGAGGUUAUGUAAAUUUUCUUAUGCGAUGGAUUGCGCUGUUGGUUGUAUGCAUCCAGUGACGCAGAGGCCCGGGUGAUCCCUUUUUCGAAAGAAAAAGGAUGUUCUGUUCUGUUUACUACGCAGUAGCUUGCAACACAGAAGGCUCAGUCGAACAAGGACCCAAGGGAACAAAUUUAAGACUCAAGGAAAGUAGAGGCUGGCAGAUACUUCUUGUAUAGUCUGAUUUUACUUGAAAUAACAAGUUUCUCCGUUGAUUUUCAUAAUGAAAUCGUCUAUAUCCAGACACAGUGAUUGCCUCAGCACUUCAGCAGAAGGAUUAUGAAACACAAAACAGAACUUCCAUGCACUUCUAACUAUUACUUGAACAAAUCCACAUACGUCAAUAUUUCAAACAGGAUUUUGAUGUUUUUGCAAGCGCUGCUGAUUG
RNAcentral lists this long non-coding RNA (641 nucleotides) under Hordeum vulgare. Its description in RNAcentral is "long non-coding RNA (HVUL_LNC002018)". Lineage: Eukaryota; Viridiplantae; Streptophyta; Magnoliopsida; Poales; Poaceae. The record is from RNAcentral.